Molecule: ribosomal RNA, 496 nt
Filed under: uncultured bacterium
Lineage: Bacteria
Description: partial 16S ribosomal RNA
Rfam family: Bacterial small subunit ribosomal RNA
Source: RNAcentral
AUGAACGCUGGCGGCGUGCCUAAUACCUGCCAGUCGAGCGAACGGACGAGAAGCUUGCUUCUCUGAUGUUAGCGGCGGACGGGUGAGUAACACGUGGAUAACCUACCUAUAAGACUGGGAUAACUUCGGGAAACCGGAGCUAAUACCGGAUAAUAUUUUGAACCGCAUGGUUCAAAAGUGAAAGACGGUCCUGCUGUCACUUAUAGAUGGAUCCGCGCUGCAUUAGCUAGUUGGUAAGGUAACGGCUUACCAAGGCAACGAUGCAUAGCCGACCUGAGAGGGUGAUCGGCCACACUGGAACUGAGACACGGUCCAGACUCCUACGGGAGGCAGCAGUAGGGAAUCUUCCGCAAAGGGCGAAAGCCUGACGGAGCAACGCCGCGUGAGUGAUGAAGGUCUUCGGAUCGUAAAACUCUGUUAUUAGGGAAGAACAUAUGUGUAAGUAACUGUGCACAUCUUGACGGUACCUAAUCAGAAAGCCACGGCUAACUACGUG